GUCAAAAGCAAUUGGAUGUUAAUCUGCUAUGGGCAGCGGCGGUGCAUCAAGGUGCAAGGCAGCAGCGACAUGUUCAUAGUACGCUAAAGGAUGAACUCCUACUUUUUCUGAUGCUAGCUCCUUGCUGCAGGAUAUGCAUUGUGCUUAAACAUGAGUGCUCGCUCGCUGAACGUUGGCCCUCGGAUGAAUUCGACGCUUGAAUCGAGCUGACGAGCCCCAUGGGGGUGAGAGGCGGAUAACAAUACGAGAAGGAGCAUGCCAUCGAGGAGUGCAAGCAGCGGCACUCCUCCGCAAUGGGGUAUGGCUGCGGGGGAGGGGACGCGGCCAACGACAGGAAGAAGGAGCAGGUCGUCGAGGACUACAAGCAGCAGGUUUCCUUUGACUGGAAGUCUGAAACUGAAGAUAGGGCAUAUUGUUUUGGUUCUGAGUGGCCGGAGAUAUUGUGGCUUGAUGUCCCUAGAGCAGUCGGACCCUUCCAAGAUAGAAGAUCUUUGGGAUUGACGUUCUGAUGAGAAAGUAGCAUACGGAUGGAUGGACAUGAACUAUUCAGUGGUCGAACUGCGCUAUAUUUCUUUCAUUGAGGCGAGGGUGAUUCCAGUAGAUUUUGCUUGGCGGACUCGCCUUUUUUUAUUGAAGUUGGGUGUCCGUCUUCUCUGCGGCAAGGAUCUGGGGAGUCAGAUUGCGGAUUACAUGUAGUGGGGAAGUAGAGAGGGGGACGAGGAAGAGGACACCGUCGGUGGCGUGCU
Molecule: long non-coding RNA, 746 nt
Filed under: Triticum aestivum (bread wheat)
Lineage: Eukaryota; Viridiplantae; Streptophyta; Magnoliopsida; Poales; Poaceae
Description: lnc_726
Source: RNAcentral